Molecule: ribosomal RNA, 424 nt
Filed under: uncultured prokaryote
Description: bacterial SSU rRNA
Rfam family: Bacterial small subunit ribosomal RNA
Source: RNAcentral
UGGGGAAUAUUGGACAAUGGGCGAAAGCCUGAUCCAGCAAUGCCGCGUGAGUGAUGAAGGCCUUAGGGUUGUAAAGCUCUUUUACCGGGGAUGAUAAUGACAGUACCUGGAGAAUAAGCUCCGGCUAACUCCGUGCCAGCAGCCGCGGUAAUACGGAGGGAGCUAGCGUUGUUCGGAAUUACUGGGCGUAAAGCGCGCGUAGGCGGCUUUUCAAGUCAGGGGUGAAAUCCCGGGGCUCAACCCCGGAACUGCCCUUGAAACUGGAUGGCUAGAAUACUGGAGAGGUGAGUGGAAUUCCCAGUGUAGAGGUGAAAUUCGUAGAUAUUGGGAAGAACACCAGUGGCGAAGGCGGCCACCUGGCCCGGUACUGACGCUGAGGCGCGAAAGCGUGGGGAGCAAACAGGAUAAGAUACCCCUGUAGUCC